UACUUAGUGGCGCACGGGUGCGUAACGCGUGGGAAUCUGCCCCUUGGUUCGGAAUAACAGUUGGAAACGACUGCUAAUACCGGAUGAUGACGUAAGUCCAAAGAUUUAUCGCCGAGGGAUGAGCCCGCGUAGGAUUAGGUAGUUGGUGUGGUAAAGGCGCACCAAGCCGACGAUCCUUAGCUGGUCUGAGAGGAUGAUCAGCCACACUGGGACUGAGACACGGCCCAGACUCCUACGGGAGGCAGCAGUGGGGAAUAUUGGACAAUGGGCGAAAGCCUGAUCCAGCAAUGCCGCGUGAGUGAUGAAGGCCUUAGGGUUGUAAAGCUCUUUUACCCGGGAUGAUAAUGACAGUACCGGGAGAAUAAGCUCCGGCUAACUCCGUGCCAGCAGCCGCGGUAAUACGGAGGGAGCUAGCGUUAUUCGGAAUUACUGGGCGUAAAGCGCACGUAGGC
Molecule: ribosomal RNA, 452 nt
Filed under: Sphingomonas sp. Air157
Lineage: Bacteria; Pseudomonadati; Pseudomonadota; Alphaproteobacteria; Sphingomonadales; Sphingomonadaceae
Description: bacterial SSU rRNA
Rfam family: Bacterial small subunit ribosomal RNA
Source: RNAcentral